Molecule: ribosomal RNA, 253 nt
Filed under: uncultured bacterium
Lineage: Bacteria
Description: partial 16S ribosomal RNA
Rfam family: Bacterial small subunit ribosomal RNA
Source: RNAcentral
UACAGAGGGUGCAAGCGUUAAUCGGAAUUACUGGGCGUAAAGCGCGUGUAGGCGGCUAUUUAAGUCUGAUGUGAAAGCCCUGGGCUUAACCCAGGAAGUGCAUUGGAUACUGGGUAGCUCGAGUACCGGAGAGGAGGGUGGAAUUCCUGGUGUAGCGGUGAAAUGCGUAGAUAUCAGGAGGAACACCGGUGGCGAAGGCGUCCCUCUGGCCGGAUACUGACGCUGAGACGCGAAAGCGUGGGGAGCAAACAGG